Molecule: ribosomal RNA, 478 nt
Filed under: uncultured bacterium
Lineage: Bacteria
Description: partial 16S ribosomal RNA
Rfam family: Bacterial small subunit ribosomal RNA
Source: RNAcentral
GACGAACGCUGGCGGCGAGCUUAACACAUGCAAGUCGAACGGUAGGGCCCUUCGGGGUACACGAGUGGCGAACGGGUGAGUAACACGUGGGUGAUCUGCCCUGCACUUCGGGAUAAGCCUGGGAAACUGGGUCUAAUACCGGAUAGGACCACUGCCUGCAUGGGUGGUGGUGGAAAGCUUUUGCGGUGUGGGAUGGGCCCGCGGCCUAUCAGCUUGUUGGUGGGGUGAUGGCCUACCAAGGCGACGACGGGUAGCCGGCCUGAGAGGGUGACCGGCCACACUGGGACUGAGAUACGGCCCAGACUCCUACGGGAGGCAGCAGUGGGGAAUAUUGCACAAUGGGCGCAAGCCUGAUGCAGCGACGCCGCGUGAGGGAUGACGGCCUUCGGGUUGUAAACCUCUUUCAGCACCGACGAAGCGCAAGUGACGGUAGGUGCAGAAGAAGGACCGGCCAACUACGUGCCAGCCGCCGCGGUAA